RNAcentral lists this long non-coding RNA (348 nucleotides) under Bos mutus (wild yak). RNAcentral's name for it is "lncRNA (ENSBMUG00000006315.1)". The record is from RNAcentral. Lineage: Eukaryota; Metazoa; Chordata; Mammalia; Artiodactyla; Bovidae.
AGAAGAGGAAGUCCCAGCCCUACACAGGUCACACCACCCAAACUCUGCGGCUGCAUUUCACAGGAAACCAAACCUAAAAGGACCUAGGAGGAGGGUUCUGCUAAAGGACACUGCUGAACAUUGAGAAUUUUUCAGCCCCCUGCCUCCUGGAUUACCGGCUCCUGGAGUUCUCCGUAAUGCCCUCACGGACCCCUCACGCAAGGGACAUCUCAGCACAAGGCUGUUUGCACUCCCGACACUGCUCAGGCUGAGUUGAAGAUCCCUCUCAUUUGCCGGGUGCCAAGAAAGAUGAACAGACCGGGCAAUAGAAAAAUAGCCAAAGAAGGAGCCAGUGAUUUGAAAUUCCAG